UUCCGGUUGAUCCUGCCGGAGGCUACCGCUAUUGGAGUUCGAUUAAGCCAUGCGAGUCGCGAGAAAUUAGAUUCUCGGCGUACCGCUCAGUAACACGUGGGUAACCUGCCCUAUGCUGGAUAAUAACCUCGGGAAACUGAGAAUAAUGAUCCAUAGUUCACUACGCCUGGAACGGUGAGUGGAUGAAAGCUCCGGCGGCAUAGGAUGGGCCUGCGGCGUAUCAGGUUGUAGGGGGUGUAACGUACCCUCUAGCCCUCUACGCGUACGGGUGUUGGGAGACAUAGCCCGGAGAUGGAUUCUGAGACACGAAUCCAGACCCUACGGGGUGCAGCAGGCGCGAAAACUUGGCAAUGCGAGAAAUCGUGACCAGGGAACUCCAAGUGCAUCGGGUAAGACCGGUGCUUUUCUUGACUCUAAAAAGGUCUUGGAAUAAGGGGUGGGUAAGGACGGUGCCAGCCGCCGCGGUAAUACCGGCGCCUCAAGUGGUAGUCGCUUUUAUUGGGCCUAAAACGUCCGUAGCCGGUCUGAUACAUUCGUGGGUAAAUCAACCAGCUCAACUGGUUGAAUUCUGCGAGGACGGUCAGACUUGGGACCGGGAGAGGUGUGGGGUACGCUCAGGGUAGGGGUAAAAUCCUGUCAUCCUGAGCGGACCACCUGUUGCGAAGGCGCCACACUAGAACGGAUCCGACGGUCAGGGACGAAGCCUAGGGGCACGAACCGGAUUAGAUACCCGGGUAGUCCUAGGUGUAAACGCUGUGGACUUGAU
RNAcentral lists this ribosomal RNA (766 nucleotides) under uncultured Candidatus Poseidoniales archaeon. Its description in RNAcentral is "bacterial SSU rRNA". It matches the Rfam family "Archaeal small subunit ribosomal RNA", at positions 1 to 772 of the family's 1478-position model. Lineage: Archaea; Methanobacteriati; Thermoplasmatota; Candidatus Poseidoniia; Candidatus Poseidoniales. The record is from RNAcentral.